Molecule: transfer-messenger RNA, 374 nt
Filed under: Chitinophagaceae
Lineage: Bacteria; Pseudomonadati; Bacteroidota; Chitinophagia; Chitinophagales
Also listed under: 1 other name
Description: Flavitalea sp016786785 Standard tmRNA
Rfam family: transfer-messenger RNA
About the family: Bacterial tmRNA, also known as 10Sa RNA or SsrA, is named for its dual tRNA and mRNA-like properties.
Source: RNAcentral
GGGGGCGCCUGGUAUUGACAGCAUAGGUCUUUGAAAGUAUAAGCAUGUCGCGCGUUGGAUAAUUAGCGCGUUAAUCUGAAUAUUCAAACAUUCAAAUGGCAAUACACAGUAUGCCAUGGCUGCCUAAUCAGUGAUUAAGUAGUCAUUCGGGCCGCGCGAGCAGGUUGUUCUGUUACCAAGCUCCGCCGCCGACUCAAAACAAAUACAGGAUGCGGCGACCGAAGGCUGUGACGGUCGCCUAAGACUAUCCAGCUAAGGCAUAUACCGGUUCGUCCGUCUCCACUAUAUGCCCGACAAAUAAUGCCGGAAUAAGCAUGUAGAAAACUUUUGCAGAAUAUGUUUGGACAGGGGUUCGAUCCCCCUCGCCUCCACUU